UGAGUCACUUCCUUGUUCUCUCGAGGCAUCGACACACAGCUGACAGGUUAGACUCUCCCUGUUAAUACUACACAGCUGACAGGUUGACUCUCUGUUAAUACAGCUGACAGGUUACUCUCCCUGUAAUA
This is a long non-coding RNA of Sander lucioperca (pikeperch), 128 nucleotides long. RefSeq lists it as uncharacterized. The record is from RefSeq and is a predicted model, not a curated record. NCBI's taxonomy places the organism in Eukaryota, Metazoa, Chordata, Actinopteri, Perciformes, Percidae. The transcript is spliced from 2 exons.